GACGAACGCUGGCGGCGUGCUUAACACAUGCAAGUCGAACGGUAAGGCCCUUCGGGGUACACGAGUGGCGAACGGGUGAGUAACACGUGGGUAAUCUGCCCUGCACUUCGGGAUAAGCCUGUGAAACUGGGUCUCAUACCGGAUAGGACCACUGCCUGCAUGGGUGGUGGUGGAAAGCUUUUGCGGUGUGGGAUGGGCCCGCGGCCUAUCAGCUUGUUGGUGGGGUGAUGGCCUACCAAGGCGACGACGGGUAGCCGGCCUGAGAGGGUGACCGGCCACACUGGGACUGAGAUACGGCCCAGACUCCUACGGGAGGCAGCAGUGGGGAAUAUUGCACAAUGGGCGCAAGCCUGAUGCAGCGACGCCGCGUGAGGGAUGACGGCCUUCGGGUUGUAAACCUCUUUCAGCACCGACGAAGCGCAAGUGACGGUAGGUGCAGAAGAAGGACCGGCCAACUACGAGCCAGCCGCCGCCGUAA
This 478-nucleotide ribosomal RNA is filed under the name uncultured bacterium. RNAcentral describes it as "partial 16S ribosomal RNA". It matches the Rfam family "Bacterial small subunit ribosomal RNA", at positions 28 to 523 of the family's 1533-position model. The record is from RNAcentral.